UAGAGAUGAUGAACCAUUCCUGAAGUUGGACGCCAGAAUGCAGGAAGGUGCUGUUUAAGAGCCUAGGCGGUGGAAGAAGCACUUGCAGGUAUGCUACCGACCAGGCUCCUCAACAUCAAUCCGAGACGGAAGAUGAAACGGGAUGAAGCAGUUAGAUUGAGACAAGGCGGCCGGAAACUUUGAUGACCUCAAUGACACUGGCUAGGUGAAGGACAUCAACAAAAUGGCAUCAGGUCACCAGACAUCAGCUCAUAAUCCACAACGUCAUCAACCAUUUUGCGCCAAAAAUGAAGCCGUUCACAUACCAUGGCAUCCUAAGCAGGCAGCACUACACUACUGUGCAACAGUGAGAGAGAGCGGGCAAGGACAAGUAAAGCGGACCUACACUACAGCAAGACUUUGACACUUCUCCACGUUAGAGGCAGCCAUCACCCCCACCGUUGAGCAGCGGCUAUGUGUAACCCCCAAAAGAGGAGAUGAUCCGACGAUGUGUGUGUGGUGCGUGUGUGUGUUGUAUGAUAUUGUAACACUUCAG
Engraulis encrasicolus (European anchovy) is the source of this 535-nucleotide long non-coding RNA. RefSeq lists it as uncharacterized. Lineage: Eukaryota; Metazoa; Chordata; Actinopteri; Clupeiformes; Engraulidae. The record is from RefSeq and is a predicted model, not a curated record. The transcript is spliced from 4 exons.